GGCAUAUGGAGGUUCCCAGGCUAGGGGUGGAAUCGGAGCUGCAACUGCCGGCCUACACCUCAGCCACAGCAACAUCAGAUCCAAGCCACAUCUGUGACCUACACCCCGGUUCACAGCAACGCCGGAUCCUUAACUCACUGAGCAAGACCAAGGAUGGAACCCUCAACCCCAUGGUUCAUAGAUUCAUUUUCGCUGUGCCACAACAGGAACUCCUUGAUCCUUUUUUUGGUUGGUUGGUUGGUUGGUCUUUUGCCUUUUCUAGGGCUGCUCCCAUGGCAUAUGAAGGUUCCCAAGCUAGGGGUCUAAUCGGAGUUGCAGCCACUGCCUGUUCAGUAAGUGGUGCUGGGAAAACUGGACAGCCACAUGGAAAAGAAUGAAAUUAGAACUCUCCUUGACACCAUACACAAAAAUAAACUCCAAAUGGAUUCAAGACCUAGAUAUAAGACCAGACACUACAAAACUCUUGGAGGAAAACACAGGCCAAACACUCUCUGACAGAAACAACAGCAACAUCUUCUCAGAUCCAGCUCUUAGAGUACUGACAGUAAAACAAAAAUAAACAAAUGGGACCUAAUCAAACUGAAAAGUUUCUGCACAGCAAAGGAAACCCUAAACAAAACGAAAAGACAACCCACAGAAUGGGAGAAAAUCUUUGCAAGUGAAUCCACUGACAAGGGAUUAAUCUCCAAAAUUUAUAAACACCUCCUGCAGCUCCAUACCAAAAAAACAAACAACCCCUUCAAAAAAUGGGCAGAAGAUCUAAACAGACAGUUCUCUAAAGACAUGCAAAUGGCCAAAAAACACAUGAAAAGAUGUUCAACAUCACUCAACAUUAGAGAAAUGCAAGUCAAAACCACGAUGAGGUACCACCUUACACCAGCCAGAAUGGCCAUCAUCCAAAAGUCUACAAACAGUAAGUGCUAGAGAGGGUGUGGAGAAAAGGAACCGUAUUACACUGUUGGUGGGAUUGUAAAUUGGUGCAACCACUGUGGAAAACAGUAUGGAGAUUCCUCAGAAAACUAAAAAUAGAACUACCAUUUGAUCCAGCAAUCUCACUCCUGGGCAUCUAUCCAGAGAAAGCCAUGACUCAAAAAGACACAUGUACUCCGAUGUUCAUUGCAGCACUAUUUGCAAUAGCCAAGACAUGGAAACAACCUAAAUGUCCAUUGACAGAGGAGUGGAUCAAGAAGAUGGAAUAUUACUCAGCCAUUAAAAGGAACGAAAUACUGGCAUUCUUAGCAACAUGGAUGGACCCAGAAAUUAUCACGCUAAGUGAAGUCAUUCAGACAAUGAGACACCAACAUCAAAUGCUUUCACUGACAUGUGGAAUCUGAAAAAAGGACAGACUGAACUUCUUUGCAGAACAGAUGCUGACUCACAGACACUGAAAAACUUAUGGUCUCCAAAGGAGACAAUUUGGGGGGGGGAGAAUGCACUAGGGUUGUGGGUUGAAAAUCCUAUAAAAUUGGAUUGUGAUGAUCAUUGUACAACUAUAAAUGUAAUAAAUUCAUUGAUUAAGAAAAAAAAUAUUUUACAGUCUACUGACAUUAAAGAAACUUUUAAUUUGGUACCCUGAAAGAAAAAAAUAAUGCUGACCAUCUGGAUUUAACACAAAGUUUUCCAAUAUUCAUAUCCCCAAAUCAAUUUUAGAAUUAUAUUCCUAGGCUCCUAUGUACUUCCCACCACAAGCAAAAUUUUGAGACCUCAGAAAGUAGGAUUUUCUUUUUUUUUUUUUUUUUUUUUUUUUUUUGUCUUUUGUCUUUUUGUUGUUGUUGCUAUUUCUUGGGCCGCUCCCGCGGCAUAUGGAGCAGCCCAAAAUAGACUAAAUAAAUAAAUAAAUAAUAAAAUAAAUAAAAUCUUCAUUAACUACUGAGUCAGUACGUUUUUGUUCUUUUUAUGUGUGUACAUUUGCUUCAAAGUUCUCUUGUCCAAAGGAGGCACGGAGAAAUCACAGCAAUUUGAGCAGAAAAGAGCAGAAGAAACACGAGAGACAGGCCGUCUCCAUCAACCCACAGAGUGAAGGAAAAGUCGCCCAGGAUCCCCAAGCUGAACUUGUCAAAAUAAUGGAUUUUGCAGUUAAUUUCCAAUUUGCCUUAGAAUCACCAUCUCAUCAACUAAAUAGAUAUGAUAAGUGGAUUUUAUUUUUAUAUUCUAGAGACUUCAUUUAUUUACUUUCUGCAUUCUAUAGUAUUAAGGAAAUAAAAUGUAAAGGUACAUUUGUCAAUUACGUAACUCACAACAGAACCAAAAAUAGUAUGAUCUAGAAAGAAGCCUUUUUGCCUUCCAUUUUCAAAUUUUUCUACACUGAAUGUGUAAUAUCUGUGGGGUUGUGAGGUUUUUUUACUUUUUAAAAAGUACAACUUCAUGGUGAGUUGUUCCAAAUACAUUCAUUUGUUCAUUUAACUCAACAUAUACUCUUGAGUGCCAACUGUAUGCCCACACUGUGACAGACUGUGGGGAAUCACAUGCAUUUGUGGUCUCAGAAAAGGGACAGCUUUUGAUGUAUUUAUAGUUGCUAUCAGAAAAGUGAAAACUAGUGAAGGAAAUGAUCGAUCGGCCUUCGGAGAAGUCGUAUAAGGUGGCUUCUAAAAACUUACUGGGGUAGAUUUUAGCUGAGAGGUAUUGCCUCUGCCCAGGUGGUUCUGACUGGUCUUAGUCAGCAAGAUCCAAAUGCCAAGAAUAUGGAAAUCAGCACUGAGGAGGAGUGUGCAGAGACACACACGAUUUGAAGUCAAUCGCCAAGGGGAGAGAAAAGCCAUGGACCAGUUUAAAACUGCAUCACUGGAUGAAAAUUAAACCUAAAGAAAUAACAUUUCUAAUAAAGAUAUUCAUGGUGUCAAGGAAAGGCUAGAGAAAAAAACUAUACUUCUGGAGUUCCUGCUGUGGCGCAGCGCGUUGAGGAUCUGACUGCAGCGGUUUGGGUUGCCAUGGAGGCACGGGUUUGAUCUCCAGCAUGGCGCAGUGGGCUAAGCAUCUGUCAUUGCUGCAGCUGGCUCAGAUUCCAUCUCUGGCCCUGGAACUUCUACAUGCUGCAGGUGCGACCAAAUAAACAAAAAACUGUAAUUCCAUUUUCUAUUAGAAAUUAUUUACUCUGAUCAUUAGUCCAUCUGUUGAAGGCCACAGAGAAAGUCAGCUAUACUUGAUCUUAUCAAAUAUUUAUAAUCAUAAUACAACCUGAAAUAAAAAUAGGAUACAUUUUGAAAAUCCAAGACAUAAUGGUCCAUUUGGAUCCCCAAGUGUAACAAAGAUGAAGUCUGUCCUCAGCACAUUGCCAAGGCCACAGCUGCAGAUCUUUGCAAGUGUUUGGUGAACUCCCUGAUACCAGGUAAUCUGCCUCAUCAUCUGAUGACAAAAUCCCUAUAACAAUAAACUAAUUCUGCCAUCUGAGGUGCAAACCUUUGCUAGACAUAUUCAAUCCCAAAGCUACUGCUCUAUUUCAUUCUCCAAGAAU
This 3451-nucleotide long non-coding RNA is filed under the name Sus scrofa (pig). RNAcentral's name for it is "lncRNA (ENSSSCG00035014266.1)". Lineage: Eukaryota; Metazoa; Chordata; Mammalia; Artiodactyla; Suidae. The record is from RNAcentral.